This 468-nucleotide ribosomal RNA is filed under the name uncultured bacterium. Its description in RNAcentral is "partial 16S ribosomal RNA". It matches the Rfam family "Bacterial small subunit ribosomal RNA", at positions 28 to 507 of the family's 1533-position model. The record is from RNAcentral.
GACGAACGCUGGCGGCGUGCUUAACACAUGCAAGUCGAACGGAAAGGCCCUGCUUUUGUGUGGUGCUCGAGUGGCGAACGGGUGAGUAACACGUGAGUAACCUGCCCUUGACUUUGGGAUAACUUCAGGAAACUGGGGCUAAUACCGGAUAGGAGCUCCUGCUGCAUGGUGGGGGUUGGAAAGUUUCGGCGGUUGGGGAUGGACGCGCGGCUUAUCAGCUUGUUGGUGGGGUAGUGGCUUACCAAGGCUUUGACGGGUAGCCGGCCUGAGAGGGUGAACGGCCACAUUGGGACUGAGAGACGGACCAGACGCCUACGGGGGGCAGCAGGGGAGAAUAUUGCACAAUGGGCGGAAGUCUGAUGCAGAAACGCCGCGUGUGGGAUGACGGCCUUCGGGUUGUAAACCGCUUUCGGUUGUGACGAAGCGUGAGUGACGGUAAUGGGUAAAGAAGCACCGGCUAACUACGUG